RNAcentral lists this ribosomal RNA (429 nucleotides) under Acidobacteriota bacterium. RNAcentral's name for it is "Acidobacteria bacterium partial 16S ribosomal RNA". It matches the Rfam family "Bacterial small subunit ribosomal RNA", at positions 355 to 776 of the family's 1533-position model. Lineage: Bacteria; Pseudomonadati; Acidobacteriota. The record is from RNAcentral.
UGGGGAAUUUUGGACAAUGGGGGAAACCCUGAUCCAGCCAUCCCGCGUGUGCGAUGAAGGCCUUCGGGUUGUAAAGCACUUUUGGCAGGAAAGAAACGUCAUGGGUUAAUACCCCGUGAAACUGACGGUACCUGCAGAAUAAGCACCGGCUAACUACGUGCCAGCAGCCGCGGUAAUACGUAGGGUGCAAGCGUUAAUCGGAAUUACUGGGCGUAAAGCGUGCGCAGGCGGUUCGGAAAGAAAGAUGUGAAAUCCCAGAGCUCAACGUUGGAACUGCAUUUGUAACUACCGGGCUAGAGUGUGUCAGAGGGAGGUGGAAUUCCGCGUGUAGCAGUGAAAUGCGUAGAUAUGCGGAGGAACACCGAUGGCGAAGGCAGCCUCCUGGGAUAACACUGACGCUCAUGCACGAAAGCGUGGGGAGCAAACAGG